RNAcentral lists this ribosomal RNA (111 nucleotides) under Periophthalmus magnuspinnatus. The record is from RNAcentral. Lineage: Eukaryota; Metazoa; Chordata; Actinopteri; Gobiiformes; Gobiidae.
GUCAAAAGAACUACAGCCCUACUCAUCUCAUUAGAACUCAGAAGCUGAGCAGGGCUGGGCCUGGUUAGUACUUAGAUGGGAGACCGCUGGGAAUCACAGGUGCCUCUGUGG